RNAcentral lists this transfer RNA (70 nucleotides) under Solitalea koreensis. RNAcentral describes it as "tRNA_Cys_GCA". It matches the Rfam family "tRNA". Rfam says of the family: Transfer RNA (tRNA) molecules are approximately 80 nucleotides in length. Their secondary structure includes four short double-helical elements and three loops (D, anti-codon, and T loops). Further hydrogen bonds mediate the characteristic L-shaped molecular structure. tRNAs have two regions of fundamental functional importance: the anti-codon, which is responsible for specific mRNA codon recognition, and the 3' end, to which the tRNAs corresponding amino acid is attached (by aminoacyl-tRNA synthetases). tRNAs cope with the degeneracy of the genetic code in two manners: having more than one tRNA (with a specific anti-codon) for a particular amino acid; and 'wobble' base-pairing, i.e. permitting non-standard base-pairing at the 3rd anti-codon position. Lineage: Bacteria; Pseudomonadati; Bacteroidota; Sphingobacteriia; Sphingobacteriales; Sphingobacteriaceae. The record is from RNAcentral.
GAUCGGGUGGCCGAACGGUUAGGCAAAAUUCAGCAAAACUUUAUAUAGUGGUUCAAUCCACUCUCGACCU